Molecule: non-coding RNA, 1550 nt
Organism: Chlorocebus sabaeus (green monkey)
Lineage: Eukaryota; Metazoa; Chordata; Mammalia; Primates; Cercopithecidae
Source: RefSeq, a predicted model, not a curated record
UCUCCUGACCUCAUGAUCCGCGUGCCUCAGCCUCCCAAAGUGUUGGGAUUACAGACGUGAGCCACUGUGUCUGGCCAUCUCUGAGGGAUUUUAACGAGUUGUCCACUUUUGAGUUUGUUCAGCUGUUUACUUACUGUUAGAACCGAGUGACAAAUUUCAAGCUUCUUAUAUGCCUGACAGGAAACCAGAAGUCUCUAGAAAGUGACUGGAGGAUGCGAGUUCCAUAGUAGGCUGAGGAUGGAGUCACGAGUGAAACGGGUGAAAUCAGCCCGUGGGCUUUGGAGACUACAAGCCUGUCCAGCCUCUGACACCCUGGAGGCCAGAAGAACAUGUCUGGGAAUUAUAAGAAUGGAUGGAGGAGCUGCCUAUCCCUGUCCCACGGUCUUGUGCACAGAUCAGCCUCACAACAGGAAACAGCCCUGGAUGGGGAUACAGUGGAAGCUCAUUCUCUUAGUGACUUGUGGACAUUGGUUCGAGAUGAAGCCUGGCAGGAGUGGAAACUCCAGGUCAUUUCUAUACCUUUCCUAUUACCUGGGAGGUGGACCAUUCCACAGUGUUAGCAGGAAGGGAAUACAAGUCAGCCUAGUUAGAGGGAUUGUCUGGGGAAGGGCUAGGGGUGGAGGAAGAAGCUGUGCAGGGCAGGGCUUGCCAGUUAGAAUGAAGUGGGAGGAAGAUGAGGGACACAGAGAAGCAGAGAGAGGCAGAGACAGCAUGGCAGUGAACAGUGGGGGCUACAGUGACUUCAGAGACCCCAGGGAAUAGGUGUCACCAUUUCCACAGUCCAGAACCAGGGAGCCCUGAAACCCUCCAGUGGCCAAAGGAUUUCGACUUACAUGAGGUGGGGUGUCUUUAGGGGCAAGAGGUAGUGGGGGAUGAAAGAUGGGUGUCAGCCUUUGAAGGACAAGGGAAAGGUGUGGCCUAGACCUCCUAGGAUUCUGCAUCUGAGAUCCAGUGUCUAAAGAGGUUAUGGAUCAUUCAUUUCUUCAUUCAAUUCCUUCAUUUGUUAUGUGAGAGCACCUGAGUGUGUGUCUCUCACUGGGCCUGUGAUGGUGCAGGGUGUGAGUGGGGAAAGAAAACAAGGUCCUGUCCUUUAUCCUGUUAUGCCAGUGACAUGGACACUUUGGUAAACAGAGGAUUUCAGUUUCAGUGAUAGGGGUUAAGAUCUGAGGGGGAGGCCUGAACAUUUUUUGCACUGACUCUGACAGUUGAGGCAGGUGAUUUAGUUCCGGAGUACAGACUAAUCAGCUGAACAUUUGCUUUUACUCCUCUGAGGUUUGGAUGCCGAAGAUGAGAGGAUUUGAGCCGAUAAAUGACUAUGGGACUCUUGGAUCCCAGUAAUUCCUCACUUCUGGUGGAGGAGAGGAUGGGCCUGUGGCUGCAGACAGACCUCAUGUGACCCUGAUCUGCCUUUUGUGUUUGUGUGACUCUGGUUCAGUGACUGUGCCUUCCUGUGCCUCAGUUUUCUCUCAGUCAAAUAAGCUAAAUGGCGAAUGGACUAUGGCUUUUCAUGCUAUCUGUGAAUAAAUUGUAAAUUCUUCACAGUCAUCUGA